RNAcentral lists this long non-coding RNA (228 nucleotides) under Lathyrus oleraceus (garden pea). RNAcentral's name for it is "Pisum sativum (pea) long non-coding RNA (PSAT_LNC035872)". The record is from RNAcentral. Lineage: Eukaryota; Viridiplantae; Streptophyta; Magnoliopsida; Fabales; Fabaceae.
CUCUUAUGCAUAACUUUAUAUUUCCUCUUUCCAUGAUUGAAAUAUUAUAAUCGACUACAGGUCUCACUAAUUUUAUGAAAGUGUCUACUAACUCAAAGAACUAUUCCUUAGUUCAUAUCAUGUGAUUGUUACAUCCAGAAUUAAGGAACCAAACUUCUUCUUUGAUGUUAAUGCUCACAUUUGAGCCAUGAGGAACAAGUCUUCACUCUAAUCAAAAUUUUAAAAAAA